Molecule: long non-coding RNA, 191 nt
Organism: Limulus polyphemus (Atlantic horseshoe crab)
Lineage: Eukaryota; Metazoa; Arthropoda; Merostomata; Xiphosura; Limulidae
Exons: 3
Source: RefSeq, a predicted model, not a curated record
UAAUACAAAUGUAGCGAAAGGAAAAUGUGUUGAGAACGUGACAGAUUCAACGUUGCCCUGCAAAUGUGAACCGCAGUGUCAAGAGACAAACUAUGAGAAGACUUAUUCUUCCACGAAAUUAGCUGAAUCAGAGAAAGAUGACAUACACGCAAUGCUUCAUGAAAAUAGGCCCGAAAAAGGAAAACUUUCAA